Struthio camelus australis is the source of this 1570-nucleotide long non-coding RNA. The record is from Ensembl. Lineage: Eukaryota; Metazoa; Chordata; Aves; Struthioniformes; Struthionidae.
UCACUUUCUAGUUGGUAAGGAAACUAUUUUAUUACUAUAUCCCCUUUUUUUCUGAGGCAGUAAAACGGAUAUGAGUGCAAGGACAGCACAACUUACUGCUGUGGUUCCUUUGUAGCCCUGCUAUAGAUGCCAAAGCUGCAAGUAAUAGCAAGGAGGAACUUCUGAUACCUGGACUUUGACUGGAUGUUUUGUUAUGAACAACAUCUUUUUCAAAGAUGUUCAUUUUUUUAAAAAAAAAAAGUAAAUGUUGCCCAAUUUCCAGAACCUUCCUUAUCAUUUUUCUUUGAAUUUUACUGCUAAGGUAUUGAAUAAGCGUUGGGUCCGUAUCAGUGUCUGUGUCAUUGCAGUGAGACAGGACUAGUAUUACAGGGACUGUGCAAUUUCAUUUGCUUUGAGGGAGGGAAGGAGCAAGGAGAGGGGGAGGAAAUAACUCUGUUGUGCAAAUGAUAUGCUAGAUUAGCUUUGUUAAGAUCAGAGUAGACUCAGAAUUCUGUUAGACAACUAUCUUCCUCGCUUUUGACUGAGGUGGGAACAAAGACAAGUUAGGAGCAUUAAGAGGUUUAUAGGUACAACCUGCCUGGCUUUUGUGAGUAACUUCCUUUGCGAAGCCUGUGCCUUCCUUUUUCUUGCUCUUUAGGAUGCCUAUCUGACAGUGUAGGAUGCAAGAAUGACACCACAGGCAGAGUGCACAGAGGAGGAGAUCCAGUACCCAGGAAUCGGCUGGCACAAAGACCUCUGUUCAUAGAGCUGAAGUGGUGUAGAUCAUGUGGCAAUGCCCGGAGGGUGGGAUUGACGCUUGGAGGACUGUGAAGGGAAUGCUACUGGAGUAUUAUAGUGUACUAGACACACUUGUGACAUGGUGCCUCAUCGUACCUGCUCAAUUCUGUGGUCCUUUAUUUUGCUAUGAGAUUCAGACUGAUCACUUUGCCAGCUGUCAAGGCAAAUGUUGCUGUGUAGACCUUAGUCUCAACGACACUUAGUUUCCUGGUGAUGGGUGUCUUCAAAGGACUGGACAGAACAAACUUCCUACUGCAUCUGCAUUUUAGGUUCUCUGCUCUGUAAGUAUGCUGUGCCGUCUGGCAUUUCCAAGCUUGUUAACCAGGAAUGUUUUGACUUAAGAGCAUCUGGAAAAUUUAUAGUAAUGGUUUUGAUAUGAUUUGAUACCUUUUAGGUGAAUGAAACUUUGUAUCUGGCUAAAAUAAGCAUGAAAGGUAUUUUUAUAUUGAUUUAUUAGUCCCUAUAUUUGGCCAAAUUUUCCAUGAUUGUUAGAGAAAUCAGUAUUUUUCUUGUAGUACAUCACACACAUGCUGUAAACAGCAUGAAGACAAUAUUUGUUAGGUAGCAUCUGAUAAAAUUCGUUGUCUUUCCACUAUGUCCAACAGGAAAGGUUAGGAGAUGUUUUAAUUACCUUGAAGAUAACGUUUCAUAAGACUUAUAAGGUGUCGAGAGGUGUCUCUGAACGUAGAGAGACAGGAAUGUUUAAGCAGUGUUAUGUGUAUAGGUGUAUAUUUUCCAACUUUAAGAAAGAUGUGUUUGCAACCUAACUGCACUAACUUUUGCUGAAAUAAAC